Ailuropoda melanoleuca (giant panda) is the source of this 107-nucleotide small nuclear RNA. The record is from Ensembl. Lineage: Eukaryota; Metazoa; Chordata; Mammalia; Carnivora; Ursidae.
GUGCUCUCUUUGGCAGCACAUACACUAAAAUUGGAACAGUACAGAGAAGAUUAGCAUGACCCCUGCGCAAGGAUAACAUGCAAAUUCAUGAAGCAUUCCAUAAGAAA